GGGUGGUCUUCCACAAAAAAAAGUGUGUCUCGGAACUUCCUUAGUGCAGUAGGACGGGGGGGCCUGCCGAAUCCCACAGAGAGUACUAUGUGGGGGAAGGGUUCCUCUGAAGCGUCUCGGGAAAAGUCGUGAGGGGGUGACGGUUGCUCGGUGCCUACGGGUCCCGACUGCUCGCUGCCUUCUUUGAGCCCAGUACCGACGUUCGCAGGGGGGAUACCUGGAUACUACUGGGGUUACCUGGAUACUUCUGGCGUGUUACCUUGGAUCAGUGAGGAGUGGGGGUUAGUUUCCCGGCGACGCGACCCUCUGAGGAGGUCCCGCGGAGGGUCGCCGAGUAUUAUAUGGUGAGCUGGCUGUCAAGGAUUGUGAGUCCCGCUGCCAAAAUUUUUUUUGGUGCGCGGGCGACUGGAAAAAGAGGGUUGGUCUUGUGCCGAUACGCGUAACGUCGCAGCGAGUCCCAAGAGCUAGUAACCAUUUUUGGCGGGGGGCGAUGGCCUCGGUAUUGUCAAGCCAUUCUCUCAUUCAUUUGGGAGGGUGGGGAGAAGUGUUUGCCGAGGCCGUUCAAGCUCCGCCUGGUCGACCACCACUGUGACCGCCACCGCGCUCGAUCUCUAUUGCAAGCUCAGGUGAAAUUCCUGAUAAACUUGGAGGGGGUGUGGGACGCGUUCGCAGUGUGGGCCGAGGAGUCAUAACAUCCCAGGUCGGAAUGUGAAAAUGGAACUUCGAAACCGGUGAGAGUUCUCUCGUCGGCUAGGGGUUUCACAAAAGUAACAUUUCUAUAAAUUUCUAUCCGACCCCUCCAUUAAUUUGGAGGGGCGAUGGGCCCCCGGGAUUGGACAUACUUCUUGCUGAUUUGUCUUUUGAGGAAAAUCCUUCGCGGUGAUGGUUACUUUUUCAUUUUUUAAUGUGUGUAUCGGCCUCGUCGGUUUCUCUCUUUCCUGGUCACAUUCCCGAAAAAGGCCGCAGCACCUAUGAUUCUCUUCCGGGGGGGUCUAACUCUCCCUCUCUCUCUAUCCUUCUCUUUGUCUGGCUCUCUCUGGCUUCACUUUUUGUGGUGUGUGCCUCUGGGGGUCUGGUUGGAAUUUGCCGUUGGCUUUUUUGCCCUCUCUUUUUGCCUUUUAUCCAUCGCAAAGAAGGGUGUGUGUGUUCUCACCUGGGGUUGGAAUGAAGGACGGGGAACCUCCUCGUCUUGUGAAGUGGGACCAUCUUUUAGGAUGAUGGCUUUUUGCUGCCUGGUGUGUGCUUGGGUGGGGUUUGGUGGUGGCAGUCUACCUCUCCCUUUCUCCGGUAAGACCAGAUGACUGGUUCGUCCGCUACUCUUGUGUUGGCCCUACCUUGGCCAACGGGAGUCGGCGACGCUCCAGACUGGAUGGCAUGAUGUGGUGG
Molecule: long non-coding RNA, 1386 nt
Filed under: Physcomitrium patens
Lineage: Eukaryota; Viridiplantae; Streptophyta; Bryopsida; Funariales; Funariaceae
Description: long non-coding RNA (PPAT_LNC014863)
Source: RNAcentral